GACGAACGCUGGCGGCGUGCUUAACACAUGCAAGUCGAACGGAAAGGCCCUGCUUUUGUGGGGUGCUCGAGUGGCGAACGGGUGAGUAACACGUGAGUAACCUGCCCUUGACUUUGGGAUAACUUCAGGAAACUGGGGCUAAUACCGGAUAGGAGCUCCUGCUGCAUGGUGGGGGUUGGAAAGUUUCGGCGGUUGGGGAUGGAAUCGCGGCUUAUCAGCUUGUUGGUGGGGUAGUGGCUUACCAAGGCUUUGACGGGUAGCCGGCCUGAGAGGGUGACCGGCCACAUUGGGACUGAGAUACGGCCCAGACUCCUACGGGAGGCAGCAGUGGGGAAUAUUGCACAAUGGGCGGAAGCCUGAUGCGGCAACGCCGCGUGCGGGAUGACGGCCUUCGGGUUGUAAACCGCUUUCGCCUGUGACGAAGCGUGAGUGACGGUAAUGGGUAAAGAAGCACCGGCUAACUACGUG
Molecule: ribosomal RNA, 468 nt
Filed under: uncultured bacterium
Lineage: Bacteria
Description: partial 16S ribosomal RNA
Rfam family: Bacterial small subunit ribosomal RNA
Source: RNAcentral